GGAUGUGAGGGCGAUCUGGCUGCGACAUCUGUCACCCCACUGAUCGCCAGGGUUGAUUCGGCUGAUCUGGCUGGCUAGGCGGGUGUCCCCUUCCUCCCUCACCGCUCCAUGUUUGUCCCUCCCGAAGCUGCGCGCUCGGUCGAAGAGGACGGCCUUCCCCAGAGGAGGGCCGUUCUUUGGUCAAGGGUAUACGAGUAGCCGCCCUCCCCUGCUAGAAUCUCCAAACAAGCUCUCAAUUACAUGACUUUACUUUUGUAAGCUGUAUUUUCUAGGAAGUUUACCAUUUCAACUACAUUUUCAUAUUUAAUGGACUAAAGU
Ursus americanus (American black bear) is the source of this 318-nucleotide unclassified non-coding RNA. Its record names the gene 7SK. It matches the Rfam family "7SK RNA". Rfam says of the family: 7SK was discovered as an abundant small nuclear RNA in the mid-70s but a possible function has only recently been suggested. Two independent studies have found that 7SK RNA binds the CDK9/cyclin T complex (known as elongation factor P-TEFb). The record is from Ensembl. Lineage: Eukaryota; Metazoa; Chordata; Mammalia; Carnivora; Ursidae.